Molecule: ribosomal RNA, 460 nt
Filed under: uncultured bacterium
Lineage: Bacteria
Description: partial 16S ribosomal RNA
Rfam family: Bacterial small subunit ribosomal RNA
Source: RNAcentral
UCUACGGGUGGCAGCAGUGAGGAAUAUUGGUCAAUGGACGAGAGUCUGAACCAGCCAAGUAGCGUGAAGGAUGACUGCCCUAGGGGUUGUAAACUUCUUUUAUAUGGGAGUAAAUGAUUCCACGUGUGGGAUUUUGUAUGUACCAUAUGAAUAAGGAUCGGCUAACUCCGUGCCAGCAGCCGCGGUAAUACGGAGGAUCCGAGCGUUAUCCGGAUUUAUUGGGUUUAAAGGGAGCGUAGGUGGAUUGUUAAGUCAGUUGUGAAAGUUUGCGGCUCAACCGUUAAAUUGCAGUUGAAACUGGCAGUCUUGAGUACAGUAGAGGUGGGCGGAAUUCGUGGUGUAGCGGUGAAAUGCUUAGAUAUCACGAAGAACUCCGAUUGCGAAGGCAGCUUACUGGACUGCAACUGACACUGAGGCUCGAAAGUGUGGGUAGCAAACAGGAUUAGAUACCCCAGUAGUC